ACUCCUACGGGAGGCAGCAGUGGGGAAUCUUGCGCAAUGGGCGAAAGCCUGACGCAGCGACACCGCGUGGGGGAUGAAGGCCCUUAGGGUCGUAAACCCCUUUCGGCAGGGACGAAGCGAUCACGUGACGGUACCUCCAGAAGAAGCCCCGGCUAACUACGUGCCAGCAGCCGCGGUAAU
This 180-nucleotide ribosomal RNA is filed under the name uncultured Actinomycetes bacterium. RNAcentral describes it as "uncultured actinobacterium partial 16S ribosomal RNA". It matches the Rfam family "Bacterial small subunit ribosomal RNA", at positions 335 to 524 of the family's 1533-position model. The record is from RNAcentral. Lineage: Bacteria; Bacillati; Actinomycetota; Actinomycetes.